AGCACAUGCAAGUCGAACGCUGAAGCCCCAGCUUGCUGGGGUGGAUGAGUGGCGAACGGGUGAGUAACACGUGAGUAACCUUCCCUUGACUCUGGGAUAAGCCUGGGAAACCGGGUCUAAUACCGGAUACGACCCUCCAUCGCAUGGUGUGGGGGUGGAAAGAUCAUCGGUCUUGGAUGGACUCGCGGCCUAUCAGCUUGUUGGUGGGGUAAUGGCCCACCAAGGCGACGACGGGUAGCCGGCCUGAGAGGGUGACCGGCCACACUGGGACUGAGACACGGCCCAGACUCCUACGGGAGGCAGCAGUGGGGAAUAUUGCACAAUGGGCGCAAGCCUGAUGCAGCGACGCCGCGUGAGGGAUGACGGCCUUCGGGUUGUAAACCUCUUUCAGUAGGGAAGAAGCGAAAGUGACGGUACCUGCAGAAGAAGCGCCGGCUAACUACGUGCCAGCAGCCGCGGUAAUACGUAGGGCGCGAGCGUUAUCCGGAAUUAUUGGGCGUAAAGAGCUCGUAGGCGGUUUGUCGCGUCUGCCGUGAAAGUCCGGGGCUUAACCCCGGAUCUGCGGUGGGUACGGGCAGACUGGAGUGCAGUAGGGGAGACUGGAAUUCCUGGUGUAGCGGUGAAAUGCGCAGAUAUCAGGAGGAACACCGAUGGCGAAGGCAGGUCUCUGGGCUGUUACUGACGCUGAGGAGCGAAAGCAUGGGGAGCGAACAGGAUUAGAUACCCUGGUAGUCCAUGCCGUAAACGUUGGGCACUAGGUGUGGGGGCCAUUCCACGGUUUCCGCGCCGCAGCUAACGCAUUAAGUGCCCCGCCUGGGGAGUACGGCCGCAAGGCUAAAACUCAAAGGAAUUGACGGGGGCCCGCACAAGCGGCGGAGCAUGCGGAUUAAUUCGAUGCAACGCGAAGAACCUUACCAAGGCUUGACAUGUUCCCGACCGGGCCAGAGAUGGUCCUUCCCCUUUGGGGCGGGUUCACAGGUGGUGCAUGGUUGUCGUCAGCUCGUGUCGUGAGAUGUUGGGUUAAGUCCCGCAACGAGCGCAACCCUCGUUCCAUGUUGCCAGCGGGUUAUGCCGGGGACUCAUGGGAGACUGCCGGGGUCAACUCGGAGGAAGGUGGGGACGACGUCAAAUCAUCAUGCCCCUUAUGUCUUGGGCUUCACGCAUGCUACAAUGGCCGGUACAAUGGGUUGCGAUACUGUGAGGUGGAGCUAAUCCCAAAAAGCCGG
This 1226-nucleotide ribosomal RNA is filed under the name Priestia aryabhattai. Its description in RNAcentral is "bacterial SSU rRNA". It matches the Rfam family "Bacterial small subunit ribosomal RNA", at positions 50 to 1285 of the family's 1533-position model. The record is from RNAcentral. Lineage: Bacteria; Bacillati; Bacillota; Bacilli; Caryophanales; Bacillaceae.